RNAcentral lists this long non-coding RNA (862 nucleotides) under Vitis vinifera (wine grape). RNAcentral describes it as "long non-coding RNA (VVIN_LNC002263)". The record is from RNAcentral. Lineage: Eukaryota; Viridiplantae; Streptophyta; Magnoliopsida; Vitales; Vitaceae.
GUGAUGGAGUCAGUUCAGGACAAUGGGCCGGGUCUAUCAAUUUUACAUAGGCCCUAUCUGGGUCCAACCCAAAUACAAAUGAUAAAUUACCUAACUCCCCACUGAAAUCUAAGUAAAUAUUUCUUUUAUAUUUAUCGAAAAAAAUACUCUCUUUUUUUAACAAGUCGUGUCAGCUGGAGAAAAUAGUUUGGUAUUAUUCUAAAGUGAAUAAAAUAGCCCACGUUCCAACGGUGUCUCCAACCAAAACUUCAAACCUACCAUCCAACUAGCAAACAACCUGUAUCGCAAUGACCAAAAUACCCUUGACUUAAAAAAAUCUAAUCUAAUCAACGAAUGGCAUUCGAGUCAAUUCAGAAAAAAUACUGACCGCAACUUCUUUGAUCUUUCACCGGAUUCACGGCGCCAGUCUCUCUCCAGUCGACGGAUUCCGGCAGAACCUCGCCGGGCAUGACGGCGUAACGCGGGCUGGCGUUUUUCAACUUGGCAAAUCUUCGCUUGGGAUCGCUCCUGGUGCCCAGGUAGAUAGCUCGGUACUCUUCGUUGGUGAGGUCAGCGAAUCUGUUCAACCCUACCUUGUAGGUGCGAUUUUGAGCGUUGUGUUCAUCUAUGAACUUGAGGUUAUCUUUGAAUAUCUCAAACCUCUUCUCUUUUUCUCCCAGUCCGUUGUAGGCUUUUCCGUGCUUGGCCAUCCACCACUGAUACAUGCCCAUCACCUCCUCCUCGCUUCUCCAGCUGCUGGACAGGUCCGCUGCGGAUGAGGCGACAAAGAAGAGGAAGAGAAGGGUUGAUAUGGAUAGCGCCAUGGCUGGUAAACGAGAAGAUGUGGAGGAGAUCAUGUUUGGGUGUCAAAAUGGGCUGUGGA